Molecule: ribosomal RNA, 1544 nt
Filed under: Salmonella enterica subsp. enterica serovar Amsterdam
Lineage: Bacteria; Pseudomonadati; Pseudomonadota; Gammaproteobacteria; Enterobacterales; Enterobacteriaceae
Description: partial 23S ribosomal RNA
Rfam family: Bacterial large subunit ribosomal RNA
Source: RNAcentral
CUGGAGGUAUCAGAAGUGCGAAUGCUGACAUAAGUAACGAUAAAGCGGGUGAAAAGCCCGCUCGCCGGAAGACCAAGGGUUCCUGUCCAACGUUAAUCGGGGCAGGGUGAGUCGACCCCUAAGGCGAGGCCGAAAGGCGUAGUCGAUGGGAAACGGGUUAAUAUUCCCGUACUUGGUGUUACUGCGAAGGGGGGACGGAGAAGGCUAUGUUGGCCGGGCGACGGUUGUCCCGGUUUAAGCGUGUAGGCUGGUUUUCCAGGCAAAUCCGGAAAAUCAAGGCUGAGGCGUGAUGACGAGGCACUACGGUGCUGAAGCAACAAAUGCCCUGCUUCCAGGAAAAGCCUCUAAGCAUCAGGUAACAUCAAAUCGUACCCCAAACCGACACAGGUGGUCAGGUAGAGAAUACCAAGGCGCUUGAGAGAACUCGGGUGAAGGAACUAGGCAAAAUGGUGCCGUAACUUCGGGAGAAGGCACGCUGACACGUAGGUGAAGUGAUUUACUCACGGAGCUGAAGUCAGUCGAAGAUACCAGCUGGCUGCAACUGUUUAUUAAAAACACAGCACUGUGCAAACACGAAAGUGGACGUAUACGGUGUGACGCCUGCCCGGUGCCGGAAGGUUAAUUGAUGGGGUCAGCGCAAGCGAAGCUCCUGAUCGAAGCCCCGGUAAACGGCGGCCGUAACUAUAACGGUCCUAAGGUAGCGAAAUUCCUUGUCGGGUAAGUUCCGACCUGCACGAAUGGCGUAAUGAUGGCCAGGCUGUCUCCACCCGAGACUCAGUGAAAUUGAACUCGCUGUGAAGAUGCAGUGUACCCGCGGCAAGACGGAAAGACCCCGUGAACCUUUACUAUAGCUUGACACUGAACAUUGAGCCUUGAUGUGUAGGAUAGGUGGGAGGCUUUGAAGUGUGGACGCCAGUCUGCAUGGAGCCGACCUUGAAAUACCACCCUUUAAUGUUUGAUGUUCUAACGUGGACCCGUUACCCGGGUUGCGGACAGUGUCUGGUGGGUAGUUUGACUGGGGCGGUCUCCUCCUAAAGAGUAACGGAGGAGCACGAAGGUUGGCUAAUCCUGGUCGGACAUCAGGAGGUUAGUGCAAUGGCAUAAGCCAGCUUGACUGCGAGCGUGACGGCGCGAGCAGGUGCGAAAGCAGGUCAUAGUGAUCCGGUGGUUCUGAAUGGAAGGGCCAUCGCUCAACGGAUAAAAGGUACUCCGGGGAUAACAGGCUGAUACCGCCCAAGAGUUCAUAUCGACGGCGGUGUUUGGCACCUCGAUGUCGGCUCAUCACAUCCUGGGGCUGAAGUAGGUCCCAAGGGUAUGGCUGUUCGCCAUUUAAAGUGGUACGCGAGCUGGGUUUAGAACGUCGUGAGACAGUUCGGUCCCUAUCUGCCGUGGGCGCUGGAGAACUGAGGGGGGCUGCUCCUAGUACGAGAGGACCGGAGUGGACGCAUCACUGGUGUUCGGGUUGUCAUGCCAAUGGCACUGCCCGGUAGCUAAAUGCGGAAGAGAUAAGUGCUGAAAGCAUCUAAGCACGAAACUUGCCCCGA